This 59-nucleotide transfer RNA is filed under the name Diaemus youngi. Its description in RNAcentral is "tRNA-Ser". Lineage: Eukaryota; Metazoa; Chordata; Mammalia; Chiroptera; Phyllostomidae. The record is from RNAcentral.
GAAAAAGCGUACAAGAACUGCUAACUCUUCAUACCAUGCCUAACAACAUGGCUUUUUCA